AAAAAGAAAACGGCGUAGCAGCUAAGAAAAGGACCUACACAAAAACAAAAAGACGGCAGUCAUUUCUUGAAAGAAAAAGAUUCAAUAUCCAUUUUUUCCUAAUUCCUAAAAGUGACGAGAAACAGAAGGAAAAGGGAACAAAAAAGAGCAUGGAAACGAGAUAGAAAAGAAGCAAAAAACAGAAAGAAUAGAUCUGGGGGAGGCAUAAGAAAAUGAAAAAAGCUUCAUAGCAAAAGCUGAGAAUCGGCCAUUAAAAUAUCUCACUCAAGCUCCAUAGCUCCCCUAUCCAUAAACCUCAUCUUUUCUCCCUUUUCUCCACCAAAGUUUAGCAUCUUUCUGCUCUGAAGUACUGUGAAAUAUCAGUCCGGAAAACACCCCAAACCACCUCCGAAACUGCUGGAGCUUGAUCGAUUUUCUUGAGUCAGGUUCGAGUUCGGUGCGACAAGUGGGUCUCGCUAGAGCUUUGAUUGAUCGCCUGAGGUUUCCGCAAUUCGAAAGGCUCCGUCUGAAAGCUGUCCAACAAUUGAGUUGCUGUAAUUUAAAGUUCACAGUCGUCAAUAAAGGUCCCAUUCUUUCAUGCUCUAUCUCUUUACUUUGCUCUUAUCUAAUGCUGGAAUUAAGUUGGAACACUGUUUCAUAUUUAGUGAUAAUGUAUUGAUUAUAUAUAUAUAUAUAUUUUACGGGGCUCAUAAUUUGUUUUCGCAUCUUUGGUGUUUCUUUAACGCCUAAAGCUAUGAACCUUUCUGUUUUGACAAUCCAACUUAGGUUGUAUGUAUAUUAUAUUUAUAAGAAAUGCAUUACUCCACUUGGAUGAAUAAUUGUGUGCUUAAGAUAGAUGUUGUUUAAUGCCGAGAUUGUCAUCAUGCAUGAAAGAUUAAUGUUGUUUGCUAAUGAUGCGGGAAUCAUAUUUGAGCAAUGUACAAAAUGAAGAUGUGAAUGGGAUUUGAUGCUGGUUCUUUUCCAAUUAAAUUUUAUAGAUUUGGUGCUCGGUUAAGGUGAACCAUGUCGGGCCCAAUUGAUAAGAGCUAUAGGUAUCCCAAUCCUAGUAGGCGCAUUUAACCGGCCCAUUUACACCCUUCUCCACGAAUAAUUCCAUAUGUCAUGACCCCACAACAAUCUCAAAGUAGUUCAAAGAAAAUAACUCAUGAACAUCGUAGCUUGUUUUAGGCGCGAUUAAUAAAUCAUCGUGACUAUGGGUACGGUUCCUGUGACAUAGUUAUGAUACCUAAUUCCCAAAAUCGGGUGUGCAUUUCAUGUAACCCGAUCAUAACAACUUCAAAUAUUAAUAAUAUAAAUAUAUCGCAAAUCGCGGGUGCAUUUCAUGUAGCGUGAUUUGCGGUGUGUCCCAAAACAAUAAGUGUACGACAAUCAUAAUUUGUUCAAGAAAUAAUUCCAUAAAUCCUAACGGCGGUUUAAAAUAAUUAAAAGCGGUUAUAAAGUUAAAAAAAAUGCACAAUAAGUUUAAAAUGUGUAUUAAAUCAGAUAAUAGGCCAAUUGAUAAUAGUUAAAGCGACCGUGCUAGAACCACAGAACCCGGGAAUGCCUAACACCUUCUCCCGAGUUAACAAAAUUCCUUACUUAGAAUUUUUGGUUCGCAGACUUUUAAAUAAAAUGGAUUUCCUUGAUUUGGAAUUUUAAAAUAAAUCGGUGACUUGGGACGAAAAAUAAAUUAUUCCAAGUGGCGACUCUGAAAAAUAAAUAAAUAAUCUUAUUUCGAAUAAUGCCACUUUAAUUGGAAAAACUCCCUAUAUACCUUCGGGUGUAAAAAGGAGGUGCGACACCCAUGAUUAGCUAAACAACCACCCUUGAUUUGAUUUGUUCCUAGAUUUUGGCCUUUGUCCUCGACCAGUCACGAAUAUCUCGCAUUUCCAUUAUUAUACUGUCUUCGGUCUUGCUCGAUGUCUAUCCCGUUCGAUCUCGAUCAUUACUGGUCUCAAUCUCGACAAGUACCUACCUUAUAUUCGCAUCCGGUCUGAUAAAAUCGGAUAGGCCCGAUUUUAACCGUAUACAGAUAGUCCCCUCGUUUCUUGGAGUGUAAUGACAAGAAACUAAGUGAGUCUUUGAAUUUACCCUCGGUUAAGCAUCGUGAUGUAAGAGGUAGAGGUGAUCGAAUCGUCCCAUCGUUUCAGUUACCGGUCGGCCACUACCAGUAUUGAACUGUCGUCUUCAACCUUUAAAUGCAUCUUUCUUCAUCUUUUAAACUUUACUUUCAAUCUUUUCUGCUCUAAUCUUCAAAGCUCUCUGCGUUCUUCAAGCUUCAUUGCUAACCUCCUUUAAAAACACCAAAUACCCUAAUCCCCGUUCUUCCUUGUUCACAAAAAAUGGCCAAAACAUAUAAAACUGUUCCGCAAAAGAAAAGCUUCCUCGUCCCAACCGGCCGGCGAACAACCAAUGACAGAUCCACGUGCUGAAGAAAUAGUUUCCGGGGGUGUGUCCUUGAUGAUGACUUCAAGGUCAAAAAGACCCCUUCGGUUCCAGGCUGAUGCGAGCCCAUGUUGAGGUACAUAUGCACGAUUACCGGUGACCAACUCGACCAAGUCAAAAAUUACUACAACUGGGUCGACAAGCACGUGGUAGUACCCUCGCCUGAGGAGUCAAUCACUACUUACGUGGAAGAGUUUCUAAGUGUUUCUACUUACCUUUUUACAUUGGGUCCCUUGGACUCGGUCAUCGUGGACUUCUGCAAGAAAUAUAAAGUCACCCUUGGCCAAAUACACCCCUCCUUCUGGAGGAUAGUGAUAUUGCUCCCUUUUUUGUUAACCAAGUAGACGAGAUUCCUUUCACCCUCGACCAUCUCAUACGAUUAUAUAGCCCCCGACUUUAUCGAGGGGGGCUAAAUAAACUUCAACGUCGGGCCUCCAAGGAGGCUUUCUCGAGCAUAGAUGAAGACAAAGACCAUGGCUGGAUGGGCCGAUUUGUCUGAGUGAAGACUCCGGACCUGAUCCCGGCCGAAAAUAUACCAUUUUUGGAGAUAUGGAAUAUGAGGCGUAAGUAUAACUCCCCUUUUAACUUCUACUUUAUUAGAUUCAUUUUUUCAUCCUUUCUUAUUGGCGUUUUAUUUGAUGCAGCCGUUGCUUGGAUGCCGAGUGCGAUUCCCCAGCUCGAGAACUAGGUCAGGAGCUUAGUGUCGAAAUUGACACACAG
Molecule: long non-coding RNA, 3144 nt
Filed under: Nicotiana tabacum (common tobacco)
Lineage: Eukaryota; Viridiplantae; Streptophyta; Magnoliopsida; Solanales; Solanaceae
Description: long non-coding RNA (NTAB_LNC004335)
Source: RNAcentral